Molecule: ribosomal RNA, 585 nt
Filed under: Pseudomonas sp. StFRB454
Lineage: Bacteria; Pseudomonadati; Pseudomonadota; Gammaproteobacteria; Pseudomonadales; Pseudomonadaceae
Description: bacterial SSU rRNA
Rfam family: Bacterial small subunit ribosomal RNA
Source: RNAcentral
ACGGGUGAGUAAUGCCUAGGAAUCUGCCUGGUAGUGGGGGAUAACGUUCGGAAACGAACGCUAAUACCGCAUACGUCCUACGGGAGAAAGCAGGGGACCUUCGGGCCUUGCGCUAUCAGAUGAGCCUAGGUCGGAUUAGCUAGUUGGUGAGGUAAUGGCUCACCAAGGCGACGAUCCGUAACUGGUCUGAGAGGAUGAUCAGUCACACUGGAACUGAGACACGGUCCAGACUCCUACGGGAGGCAGCAGUGGGGAAUAUUGGACAAUGGGCGAAAGCCUGAUCCAGCCAUGCCGCGUGUGUGAAGAAGGUCUUCGGAUUGUAAAGCACUUUAAGUUGGGAGGAAGGGCAGUUACCUAAUACGUAAUUGUUUUGACGUUACCGACAGAAUAAGCACCGGCUAACUCUGUGCCAGCAGCCGCGGUAAUACAGAGGGUGCAAGCGUUAAUCGGAAUUACUGGGCGUAAAGCGCGCGUAGGUGGUUCGUUAAGUUGGAUGUGAAAUCCCCGGGCUCAACCUGGGAACUGCAUUCAAAACUGUCGAGCUAGAGUAUGGUAGAGGGGUGGUGGAAUUUCCUGUGUAGCGGU